RNAcentral lists this small nuclear RNA (20 nucleotides) under Arabidopsis thaliana (thale cress). RNAcentral describes it as "snRNA_11181". The record is from RNAcentral. Lineage: Eukaryota; Viridiplantae; Streptophyta; Magnoliopsida; Brassicales; Brassicaceae.
GUCCAAAAUGGCAAAGUCAA